UCCUCAGUAGCUCAGUGAUAGAGCGGUCGACUGUUAAUUGACUGGUCAUAGGUUCGAAUCCUACCUAAGGAG
Molecule: non-coding RNA, 72 nt
Organism: Ziziphus jujuba (common jujube)
Lineage: Eukaryota; Viridiplantae; Streptophyta; Magnoliopsida; Rosales; Rhamnaceae
Source: the annotation of a RefSeq genome assembly